Molecule: ribosomal RNA, 666 nt
Filed under: uncultured Bacilli bacterium
Lineage: Bacteria; Bacillati; Bacillota; Bacilli
Description: bacterial SSU rRNA
Rfam family: Bacterial small subunit ribosomal RNA
Source: RNAcentral
AAAAGAGGAGUGGCGAACGGGUGAGUAACACGUGGGUAACCUGCCCAUCAGAAGGGGAUAACACUUGGAAACAGGUGCUAAUACCGUAUAACAAUCGAAACCGCAUGGUUUUGAUUUGAAAGGCGCUUUCGGGUGUCGCUGAUGGAUGGACCCGCGGUGCAUUAGCUAGUUGGUGAGGUAACGGCUCACCAAGGCCACGAUGCAUAGCCGACCUGAGAGGGUGAUCGGCCACAUUGGGACUGAGACACGGCCCAAACUCCUACGGGAGGCAGCAGUAGGGAAUCUUCGGCAAUGGACGAAAGUCUGACCGAGCAACGCCGCGUGAGUGAAGAAGGUUUUCGGAUCGUAAAACUCUGUUGUUAGAGAAGAACAAGGAUGAGAGUAACUGUUCAUCCCUUGACGGUAUCUAACCAGAAAGCCACGGCUAACUACGUGCCAGCAGCCGCGGUAAUACGUAGGUGGCAAGCGUUGUCCGGAUUUAUUGGGCGUAAAGCGAGCGCAGGCGGUUUCUUAAGUCUGAUGUGAAAGCCCCCGGCUCAACCGGGGAGGGUCAUUGGAAACUGGGAGACUUGAGUGCAGAAGAGGAGAGUGGAAUUCCAUGUGUAGCGGUGAAAUGCGUAGAUAUAUGGAGGAACACCAGUGGCGAAGGCGGCUCUCUGGUCUGUA